CAGAGGACCCCCAGAGGAUCCUGAGAGAAUGGGGCCUACGUGCCUAGCACUGACGUCGCAGUGGAGGAUAUCAUGAGGUUGCUGUGCUCCGUCUCUCAGAAGAAGAAGAUUAAGGCGGCCUUCAAGUACUCCUGGUUGGGUGGCCUAGUUACUGGGACUGUGGCCGUUGUGGGUGGUUUAGUGGGUGGUCCAAAAGGAAUAGCUAUUGGGGGAGCUGUCGGGGGCUUGUUAGGUGCAUGGAUGACGAGUGGAAAGUUUAAGCCAGUUCCUCAGAUCAUAAUGGAGCUACCGGCUGACGAACAGGAGAGGCUCUUUAAUCAAUACCAUUGCCAUCCUUAGGGACCUGUCCUGGACGAGUGUUGAGCAGCUGACCAUGCUGGUCAUGGGCAAUAAGACCCUCAGGAGCAGCUGGUGGAUAUGCUGAAUAACUAUUUCAUCAAGGAGCUGGGAUCAGAAAUGAAGUAGGACAAGCAGGCCUCUGCCCUGGGAAGCAGAGUCCAUUUGGAUGAUUUCAAAUUUGUUAUGGUUGAUGUAUAAUUGAUUUGCAAUAUCGUGGUUUUUUGUAGGGUAUAGCAAAGAUCAUUUACUUUUUCUGCAUUGAUGGAUGACCAUCCUGGGAGUGCAGUGAUACCAGGAGUAAAAGAUCAUUUAUCCUUUUUAUUCUUACUCACUAAUCACAUCCUUUGAAAAAUUCUCAAAAUUAAUCAGAAAGAUAAAUAGAACUCAGGGAGUGGACAGAGUAGGGAGGAAACCUGCAGAAUAUUUCUAGCUCAGGGAUUCUUUGAUUCUAACAUAAUUGACUAAAUGGCAGAAUUCAUAUAAUAUAGGCAUAAUAUACUGUAAACUAAUAAAUGAAAAUGUAAGGCAAAUUAGAGAUAACAUUCAAGGAAGCUUGCAGUUUAAUCCUUUCUUGGUUCCUUCUGAUUUAUCUCAAAAUGUCUAUUUCUUCUCCAUCCAACAAUACAGUAAGUUUUAGGUGGGAGCCUCAUGUUUUACUCAUAUUUGUAUUUGCAUCUAUGUUUAGCCCAGUGCUCCAUCUGUCAUAUCAGUAAAUAAACAUUGAGCCAAACUCACUUUCUACUUA
Molecule: RNA transcript, 1084 nt
Organism: Capra hircus (goat)
Lineage: Eukaryota; Metazoa; Chordata; Mammalia; Artiodactyla; Bovidae
Gene name: protein C19orf12 homolog pseudogene
Exons: 1
Source: RefSeq, a predicted model, not a curated record